UACGAAGGGGGCUAGCGUUGUUCGGAAUUACUGGGCGUAAAGCGCAUGUAGGCGGGUCUUUAAGUCAGGGGUGAAAUGCCAAGGCUCAACCUUGGAACUGCCUUUGAUACUGGGGAUCUUGAGUCCGGGAGAGGUGAGUGGAACUGCGAGUGUAGAGGUGAAAUUCGUAGAUAUUCGCAAGAACACCAGUGGCGAAGGCGGCUCACUGGCCCGGAACUGACGCUGAGAUGCGAAAGCGUGGGGAGCAAACAGG
This 253-nucleotide ribosomal RNA is filed under the name uncultured bacterium. Its description in RNAcentral is "partial 16S ribosomal RNA". It matches the Rfam family "Bacterial small subunit ribosomal RNA", at positions 524 to 776 of the family's 1533-position model. The record is from RNAcentral.